ACUCCUACGGGAGGCAGCAGUGGGGAAUAUUGCGCAAUGGGCGAAAGCCUGACGCAGCGACGCCGCGUGAGGGAUGAAGGCCUUCGGGUCGUAAACCUCUUUCAGCAGGGAAGAAGCGAGAGUGACGGUACCUGCAGAAGAAGCACCGGCUAACUACGUGCCAGCAGCCGCGGUAAUACGUAGGGUGCAAGCGUUGUCCGGAAUUAUUGGGCGUAAAGAGCUCGUAGGCGGUCUGUCGCGUCUGCUGUGAAAACCUAGGGCUUAACUCUGGGCGUGCAGUGGGUACGGGCAGGCUAGAGUGCGGUAGGGGAGACUGGAAUUCCUGGUGUAGCGGUGAAAUGCGCAGAUAUCAGGAGGAACACCGGUGGCGAAGGCGGGUCUCUGGGCCGUAACUGACGCUGAGGAGCGAAAGCAUGGGGAGCGAACAGGAUUAGAUACCCUGGUAGUCCAUGCCGUAAACGUUGGGCGCUAGGUGUGGGGCUCAUUCCACGAGUUCUGCGCCGCAGCUAACGCAUUAAGCGCCCCGCCUGGGGAGUACGGCCGCAAGGCUAAAACUCAAAGGAAUUGACGGGGGCCCGCACAAGCGGCGGAGCAUGCGGAUUAAUUCGAUGCAACGCGAAGAACCUUACCAAGGCUUGACAUGGGAUGAAAACUCGUAGAGAUACGGGGUCCGCAAGGGCGUCUCACAGGUGGUGCAUGGUUGUCGUCAGCUCGUGUCGUGAGAUGUUGGGUUAAGUCCCGCAACGAGCGCAACCCUCGUUCCAUGUUGCCAGCACGUUAUGGUGGGGACUCAUGGGAGACUGCCGGGGUCAACUCGGA
Molecule: ribosomal RNA, 819 nt
Filed under: uncultured Actinomycetes bacterium
Lineage: Bacteria; Bacillati; Actinomycetota; Actinomycetes
Description: bacterial SSU rRNA
Rfam family: Bacterial small subunit ribosomal RNA
Source: RNAcentral